UGGCAGACGGGUGAGUAACGCGUGGGAACGUGCCUUUCGGUCCGGAAUAACUCAGGGAAACUUGGGCUAAUACUGGAUACGCCCUUCGGGGGAAAGAUUUAUCGCCGAAAGAUCGGCCCGCGUCAGAUUAGCUUGUUGGUGGGGUAAUGGCUCACCAAGGCGACGAUCUGUAGCUGGUCCGAGAGGAUGAUCAGCCUCACUGGGACUGAGACACGGCCCAGACUCCUACGGGAGGCAGCAGUGGGGAAUAUUGGACAAUGGGGGCAACCCUGAUCCAGCAAUGCCGCGUGUGUGAUGAAGGCCUUACGGUUGUAAAGCACUUUCACUGGCGAAGAUGAUGACGGUAACCAGAGAAGAAGCCCCGGCUAACUUCGUGCCAGCAGCCGCGGUAAU
RNAcentral lists this ribosomal RNA (393 nucleotides) under uncultured bacterium. Its description in RNAcentral is "bacterial SSU rRNA". It matches the Rfam family "Bacterial small subunit ribosomal RNA", at positions 96 to 524 of the family's 1533-position model. The record is from RNAcentral.